RNAcentral lists this ribosomal RNA (465 nucleotides) under Vreelandella stevensii. RNAcentral's name for it is "partial 16S ribosomal RNA". It matches the Rfam family "Bacterial small subunit ribosomal RNA", at positions 338 to 795 of the family's 1533-position model. The record is from RNAcentral. Lineage: Bacteria; Pseudomonadati; Pseudomonadota; Gammaproteobacteria; Oceanospirillales; Halomonadaceae.
CCUACGGGUGGCAGCAGUGGGGAAUAUUGGACAAUGGGCGAAAGCCUGAUCCAGCCAUGCCGCGUGUGUGAAGAAGGCCUUCGGGUUGUAAAGCACUUUCAGUGGGGAAGAAAGCCUUGGGGCUAAUACCCUCGAGGAAGGACAUCACCCACAGAAGAAGCACCGGCUAACUCCGUGCCAGCAGCCGCGGUAAUACGGAGGGUGCGAGCGUUAAUCGGAAUUACUGGGCGUAAAGCGCGCGUAGGCGGUCUGAUAAGCCGGUUGUGAAAGCCCCGGGCUCAACCUGGGAACGGCAUCCGGAACUGUCAGGCUAGAGUGCAGGAGAGGAAGGUAGAAUUCCAGGUGUAGCGGUGAAAUGCGUAGAGAUCGGGAGGAAUACCAGUGGCGAAGGCGGCCUUCUGGACUGACACUGACGCUGAGGUGCGAAAGCGUGGGUAGCAAACAGGAUUAGAUACCCGAGUAGUC